GCGGUCGUGGCGGAACUGGCAGACGCGCUGUCUUCAGGCGGCAGUGGGAUUUUCCCGUGGAGGUUCGAGUCCUCUCGACCGCA
Molecule: transfer RNA, 83 nt
Filed under: Xylanibacillus composti
Lineage: Bacteria; Bacillati; Bacillota; Bacilli; Caryophanales; Paenibacillaceae
Also listed under: 1 other name
Description: tRNA-Leu
Rfam family: tRNA
About the family: Transfer RNA (tRNA) molecules are approximately 80 nucleotides in length. Their secondary structure includes four short double-helical elements and three loops (D, anti-codon, and T loops).
Source: RNAcentral